CUAGUGCUUGCUUUGGCUAUACUAAAAUUAGAAUGAUACAGAGAAGUUUAGCAUGGUCUUUGAGCAAGGAUGACACACAAAUUCAUGAAGUGUUCCAUAUUUUU
Molecule: small nuclear RNA, 104 nt
Organism: Monodelphis domestica (gray short-tailed opossum)
Lineage: Eukaryota; Metazoa; Chordata; Mammalia; Didelphimorphia; Didelphidae
Source: Ensembl